GUCUUCAUUGCUACCUCCAUUCUCGGGUAAAUGAGAUUCAGGGUCUUCAGACAAGUGAGAUUCAGGGUCUUCAAGAUGAACCGGGCUUUUGGUUUUACCGACUUCACCAGCUCCUUCCAACACAGGGACCUUGUCAGAUUGAUUAAGAAGCCGAAGGCAUCGCCGCCUCAAUUUUUCAUAUUCUGCCCUUUUCUUCUGUUUAAUGAUAGACCUUUCGGCCUCUGUACUAUUGAGUUCGUAUACUCCGAGUAGAAAAGGCCAAACCUCGGC
RNAcentral lists this unclassified non-coding RNA (270 nucleotides) under Hevea brasiliensis (rubber tree). The record is from RNAcentral. Lineage: Eukaryota; Viridiplantae; Streptophyta; Magnoliopsida; Malpighiales; Euphorbiaceae.